RNAcentral lists this ribosomal RNA (460 nucleotides) under uncultured bacterium. RNAcentral describes it as "partial 16S ribosomal RNA". It matches the Rfam family "Bacterial small subunit ribosomal RNA", at positions 338 to 795 of the family's 1533-position model. The record is from RNAcentral.
CCUACGGGGUGCAGCAGUGAGGAAUAUUGGUCAAUGGGCGCGAGCCUGAACCAGCCAAGUAGCGUGAAGGAUGACUGCCCUACGGGUUGUAAACUUCUUUUAUAAAAGAGUAAAGUGAGGCACGUGUACCUUUUUGUAUGUACUUUAUGAAUAAGGAUCGGCUAACUCCGUGCCAGCAGCCGCGGUAAUACGGAGGAUCCGAGCGUUAUCCGGAUUUAUUGGGUUUAAAGGGAGCGUAGAUGGGCUGUUAAGUCAGUGGUGAAAGUUUGCGGCUCAACCUUAAAAUUGCAAUUGAUACUGGAAGUCUUGAGGACAGUUGAGGUAGGCGGAAUGCGUGGUGUAGCGGUGAAAUGCUUAGAGAUCACGCAGAACUCCGAUUGCGAAGGCAGCUUACUAAACUGCCACUGACAUUGAUGCUCGAAAGUGUGGGUAUCAAACAGGAUUAGAUACCCGUGUAGUC